GAUGAAGAACGCAGCGAAAUGCGAUAAGUAAUGUGAAUUGCAGAAUUCAGUGAAUCAUCGAGUCUUUGAACGCACAUUGCGCCCCCUGGUAUUCCGGGGGGCAUGCCUGUCCGAGCGUCAUUGCUGCCCUCAAGCACGGCUUGUGUGUUGGGCCCCCGCCCCCCGGUCCCGGGGGGCGGGCCCGAAAGGCAGCGGCGGCACCGCGUCCGGUCCUCGAGCGUAUGGGGCUUUGUCACCCGCUCUGUAGGCCCGGCCGGCGCCCGCCGGCGACCCCAAUCAAUCUUUUUCAGGUUGACCUCGGAUCAGGUAGGGAUACCCGCUGAACUUAAGCAUAUCAAUAAGCGGAGGA
This 349-nucleotide unclassified non-coding RNA is filed under the name soil metagenome. RNAcentral describes it as "partial contains 5.8S ribosomal RNA, internal transcribed spacer 2, and large subunit ribosomal RNA". The stretch from base 1 to 120 matches the Rfam family "5.8S ribosomal RNA", at positions 35 to 154 of the family's 154-position model. The record is from RNAcentral.